RNAcentral lists this ribosomal RNA (1626 nucleotides) under Triticum aestivum (bread wheat). RNAcentral describes it as "partial small subunit ribosomal RNA". Lineage: Eukaryota; Viridiplantae; Streptophyta; Magnoliopsida; Poales; Poaceae. The record is from RNAcentral.
AUGAAGAGAAAGGCUACGAGUAUGCAUGAUUUUUAUGCAAGCAGUUCAGUUACUCCUUCCCCUGCCGAUGUCGAGCCUGAACUUGCCCCAGCUAAUGUGACUGCAAAUCCCUUUCCCUUAAUUGUUGUGAGCACAGUGCCUCCUCCUGAAGCUGAACCCCCAAAUGAGGAGAGCAAUGGUACCACAUGUGAUGAGAGUACAAACCGACCAAGGCAGCGCAUACUAGGAUCUCAUCCAAAUAAAAUUAUCAAGGAUGACAUUGGAGACAAGAACUUCUCAAUCCUUAUUGAUGAGGCUAGAUAUUGCUCAGUAGAAGAGCAAAUGGCAGUGACUGUGAGAUUUCUUGAUGAUCACGGGGUGCUCCAGGAAAGAUUCCUUGCAAUUAAGCACAUCACAGAUUGUACAUCUGCUGGAAUUAAAGAAGCUUUGGUUGAUGUAUUGGAUUAUCAUGGUUUGCAGAUUUCUAGGCUACGUGGACAGAGUUAUGAUGGGGCUUCAAAUAUGAGAGGGGAAUUCAAUGGUUUGCAAAAAUUGGUUAGAGAUGAAGCUCCAUAUGCAUUUUAUGUUCACUGCUUUGCUCACCAGUUGCAGGUGGUGGUUGCCACUGUUGCUCAAUGUAGUCCUACUAUUGCUGAUUUCUUCAACUGUAUUCCCUUGAUAGUGACUCAAGUGUGUUCAUCUUGCAAGCGGAAAGAUGCAUUACUGGCCAAACAUCAAGACGAAUUGUUACAUUUGAUGGAGAAUGGAAGGAUUUCAUCCGGAACCUGGUUGGAUCAAGAAUCUAGCAUAACAAGACAAGGAGAUACUCGUUGGGGCUCACAUCUCAGAACCUUGCUUCGCAUAUUCACAAUGUGGAAUGCUGUGGUGGAUGUGCUAGGAAUUGUAGUGGUUGAUGCUCGGGAACACACUUGUCAAGGUGGAGCUUCAGGUUUGCUUAUUAAGAUGGAAUGCUUUGAAUUUCUCUUCAUCAUGUUGUUCUCAAUAAACUUGUUGGGCACCACAAAUUAUCUAUCACAAGCUUUGCAAAGAAAGAAUCAAAAUACUGUCGAAGCCAUGCAUUUGAUCUUAGAUGUGAAAGAAAGCUUGCAAGAUAUGAGGGACAAUGGGUGGGAGUCUUUAUUCAGUCAAGCCAAGAACUUUUGUGAGGCACAUGACAUUGAUGUGCCAAAUAUGGAUGAUCUUGUUGGAGCUAUGGGUCAAUCUGUUCGCGCUAAGAAUAAGGUGACCCGACUUCACUAUUACAAGGUUAGCAUAUUCAAUGUUGCCAUUGAUGCAACUAUUACUGAGAUGAAUCAUCGAUUCAAUGAAGUUUCCACUGAGUUAUUGGAUUGUAUUUCUUGUCUUAAUCCAGCAAACAACUUCUCAAAGUUUAAUGCUGACAAACUUAUUCGGCUUGCUGAAAUUUAUGCUGAGGACUUUACGAAAGCUGACCGGUUGUUGCUAACAUUUGACCUUCCGAGAUUCCUUAUGAACAUUAGGAGAAGUGAGGAAUUUAAUGGAUGCCAAGAUGUGUCCACACUUGCUCGAUUGAUGGUUCAAACAAAUAAACACACAUCUUUCCAGUUGGUAUAUCGCCUCAUUGAGUUGGCGUUGAUUCUUCCUAUGGCAACUGCACCAGUUGAGUGA